AGUUCAUUGCAGUCAUGCUGGGAGUUGCUCCUAUUACUCAAUUGCUCCAAUUGAAGCAACCCAUUGGUGCACCACCAGGCCUCCUACAGCAGGCUACACAGGUAGGCAUCCAAGCAGAUCUUCAAUAUCUCCAGAGAAGAAUUCACAACUUCCCUGGGAAGCCUGUUCCAGUGCUCCAUCACCCUUACUGUGAAGAAGUUCCUUCAGAUAUAGAACAAUUGAAGACAAGACCAGACCCAGUACUGACCCCUAGGGAGAUGGACCCCCAAAAACCCAUAUUCUCCAAUUUGGAGUCAAGGAUAUCAUGUGGAACUGCAUCUAAUACUUUGCACAAGUCCAGGUAAAUGGCGUCAGUUGCUAUUCCCUUAUCCAACAGUGCUCUAAUCCCUUCGUAGAAGGUCAUCAAAUUUGUCAGGCACUUUAUACACCAGAUGAAGUCUGUAACUUCAUGCAUUACAUCAUCUAGAUCAUGCACCUACUUAGAGCUUUGUUCCCUAAGUGAUUUUUCUCAAGGCUGUAACCAGUCAGAUUUUGAAUAUUGCAAAAGACAGGGACUCCAUCCUGCAAAAGACAACUUAUGUGUUUGAUCAUGUACCCACAAAGAAGUUAUGGCACCGUAAACUGAAUAUCAGUGAAUUCAACUGUCCAAGAAAUCUCAUGAACUGGUAAAUGCACAUUUAAAUGCAAUGUAUAAAACAGUAAUUUUCACUGUUGCAUCCAAGUUCUAGAAAAGGUUGCUUGAAUUUCUACCAAUUUGUUAUACUUAAAAUUUUAUUGGCAAGUGGAAUGCACCAUAUAAAGAUUUAACUAUCCUAUCAAAGAAUGAUUGUCAUCUCAGUGGGUGCUACACUCACACUUUUUCUUAUAUAUAGCUAAAAUGAAAUACGCACAAACUUUUUAGUAACAAUUUUUUUCGGGUAUUAAGCUUAUCCGCUUAAAUUUCAGGCAAACUGUCAGAUCAGUGUUUAUGGCCAGUCGUCGGCAUCCUGAGUCCUUCACCAAGUACAGUAGAUGGUUGAGAUUUAUGUUUUCUUCCUUCAUAUGUUAGGAUACAUGUAGUAAUUUUUGCACAGUUGCACACAUUUUACUCCUUGCUCUUUUUCCACUAGUCUGUAAGGCUGGGUUACAUACAGAUUUAUUUUUGAUGUUGUGUUUUUCAUAUGUUGAACACUUGCUUUUUAUUCAUCUUGAUAUCUCUAGAACUCCUAAGGAUGCUUUCAUCUGGUAAGUGACAUCUGGAUAACUGGUGAGGAAGAAUAAUUCUUGGAAUAUUACUUCUUAAAAAUUCUGUAGGUAAAUAGAUCUACUGUUGAGAAUAGGAUCAAAAAUGAAAUCAGUAGCAAAAACAACAACAACAAAAAAAGUUAUUUCACUCUUUAGAAGCCUAUGGAGAAUUUUUUUUCUGAUUGGUCAUUCUACAUUUAAAUAAUCUAGAGGUUUAUUCCUGUUACUAUUAAUCCAUUAAUCACUAUUUUUUCCCACUGGGAGCUAAAUUUAGUAAAGAAUAUAGAGGGGAGAGGAACCAGAUAUAUGAGAAUAAUUUUCGUAAGCGAUCUGAAGGGCGAAACAGUAAUAAUUUUCUAAAAGAUGUUUUAUAAUUAUAAUAUUAUGUAUGUAAAACACAUGGGCAAGGUAGAAAUUCCAUUCAGCUUCCCUACCACACUAUUUCUUGAAGUAAUGGCACUUGAAAAAAAGAUAAGAAAAUCCUUCUUUCAUAAGACAGGUAGCUACAGAUCAUUGAACCUGGAAGAAUAAAAUUAUAGUGGUCAUAGAUUAAUCUCGUUAUGGAAUUUCAGCUGUUCAUGUUGUUUCCUUAUUACUUUGCCAGAAUACAAAUAUGUGUCAAUUUACGAAAUUUGUUAAGGGAGUAAAAUCAAGAUUAUCAGGAAAAAGCAACAAAAGCUAACAUAGUCAACAUAACCCCUGGAAUUGUUUCUUUGUGCUAUCUCAUUGAUGGUACGU
Molecule: long non-coding RNA, 1962 nt
Organism: Gallus gallus (chicken)
Lineage: Eukaryota; Metazoa; Chordata; Aves; Galliformes; Phasianidae
Source: Ensembl